UAACCUGCCCAAGAGAUCGGGAUAACACCUGGAAACAGAUGCUAAUACCGGAUAACAACAGAUGAUGCCUAUCAACUGUUUAAAAGAUGGUUAUGCUAUCACUCUUGGAUGGACCUGCGGUGCAUUAGCUAGUUGGUAGGGUAACGGCCUACCAAGGCGAUGAUGCAUAGCCGAGUUGAGAGACUGAUCGGCCACAUUGGGACUGAGGACACGGCCCAAACUCCUACGGGAGGCAGCAGCG
RNAcentral lists this ribosomal RNA (241 nucleotides) under uncultured Lactobacillus sp. RNAcentral describes it as "partial 16S ribosomal RNA". It matches the Rfam family "Bacterial small subunit ribosomal RNA", at positions 122 to 356 of the family's 1533-position model. The record is from RNAcentral. Lineage: Bacteria; Bacillati; Bacillota; Bacilli; Lactobacillales; Lactobacillaceae.